CACUGAGUAACCUACUUGACCCUGCCCAUCUGUGAAUCAACCCAUCUAGCAAACCUGCUAUUCUUGGUGAGGCCAAGUCCUGCCAACAUGUUAUGUUUAUGAGGAGCCAGCCCAGCCUAGCAGUGUAUUGACAUGGAUCACUGGCAGUGAUUCAUUGUAAAGCACUCAGCACCAUGCCUGCCAUACAUUAAGUACCAUAGAAAGGUUUGUGAUGAUGAUGAUGAUGAUGAUGAUGAUGAUGAUGAUGCUUUGCCAUGCAGUGAAUUUCAUGAGAAUUCUCCAGAGAACAAAAGGAAAUUUAGUCUCCACCGUCCUAGAGUUUCAAGUUUUCAUGGCCAUGUGUUCCCUACAAGAGUGUUUCACUACCAAUAUCCACUUUACUUCUCGCCAUCCUAGCCUCUGUGUCUUCAUGAGAGAGUGCAAUUCCAGUUUGGAGAUAGGGCAGGGGAGGGCAAGUAUAAAACAGUAUACCUUGGAAUUACUCUUCUUGAAUUCAGCAGAUCAAGUUGGGCCAUAUUUGUCUAUAUUGCACCUUUUCAUCUUUGGUUACAUCGAAUGAGCUUCAGGGGUGGUGCAACGAAGGUAUUUGCAGUUUAAAGCUAUCUUACUGUGAAAUAAAAGUUUUUCCUGGAUAAAGGAAUUUCA
RNAcentral lists this long non-coding RNA (645 nucleotides) under Monodelphis domestica (gray short-tailed opossum). Its description in RNAcentral is "lncRNA (ENSMODG00000032398.2)". The record is from RNAcentral. Lineage: Eukaryota; Metazoa; Chordata; Mammalia; Didelphimorphia; Didelphidae.